This 253-nucleotide ribosomal RNA is filed under the name uncultured bacterium. Its description in RNAcentral is "partial 16S ribosomal RNA". It matches the Rfam family "Bacterial small subunit ribosomal RNA", at positions 524 to 776 of the family's 1533-position model. The record is from RNAcentral.
UACGGAGGGUGCAAGCGUUAAUCGGAAUUACUGGGCGUAAAGCGCGCGUAGGCGGUCUAGUCAGUCAGAUGUGAAAGCCCCGGGCUCAACCUGGGAACUGCGUUUGAAACUACAAGACUAGAGUGUAGCAGAGGGGGGUGGAAUUCCACGUGUAGCAGUGAAAUGCGUAGAGAUGUGGAGGAACACCAAUGGCGAAGGCAGCCCCCUGGGUUAACACUGACGCUCAGGCACGAAAGCGUGGGGAGCAAACAGG